GACGAACGCUGGCGGCGUGCCUAAUACAUGCAAGUAGAACGGUAAAGCGAGCAGCUUGCUCUUGUUGGCGGAGUCGCGAACGGCUAAGUGACGCGUAAGUCACCUGCCUGGUGGCGGGGACUAACUAAUAGAACCGGUAGCUAAUACCUCAUAACCUGGAUUAUCGCAUGAUAAUGCCUUGGAAGGUGAAAAUGCAUCACUACCAGAUGGACGUGCGUUGUAUUAGCUAGCUGGUUGGGUAACGGAUGACCAAGGAGAAGAUACAUAGCCGGCCUGAGAGGGGGAUGGGCGACACGGGGACUGAGACACGGCCCAGGCCCCUGCGGGAGGCAGCAGGAGGGAAUCGGCGGCAAUGGACGGAAGUCUGACCGAGCAACGCCGCGCGAGUGAAGAAGGUUGUCGGAUCGUAAAGUGCUGUUGUCAGAGAAGAGCGAGGGUGAGAGUGGAAUGUUCACACUGUGACGGUAGCUUAACAGAAAGGGACGGCUAACUACGUG
RNAcentral lists this ribosomal RNA (497 nucleotides) under uncultured bacterium. RNAcentral describes it as "partial 16S ribosomal RNA". It matches the Rfam family "Bacterial small subunit ribosomal RNA", at positions 28 to 507 of the family's 1533-position model. The record is from RNAcentral.